RNAcentral lists this ribosomal RNA (253 nucleotides) under uncultured bacterium. RNAcentral describes it as "partial 16S ribosomal RNA". It matches the Rfam family "Bacterial small subunit ribosomal RNA", at positions 524 to 776 of the family's 1533-position model. The record is from RNAcentral.
UACGAAGGGGGCAAGCGUUGUUCGGAAUUACUGGGCGUAAAGGGCUCGUAGGCGGCCAACUAAGUCAGACGUGAAAUCCCUCGGCUUAACCGGGGAACUGCGUCUGAUACUGGAUGGCUUGAGAUUGGGAGAGGGAUGCGGAAUUCCAGGUGUAGCGGUGAAAUGCGUAGAUAUCUGGAGGAACACCGGUGGCGAAGGCGGCAUCCUGGACCAACACUGACGCUGAGGAGCGAAAGCUAGGGGAGCAAACGGG